This 469-nucleotide ribosomal RNA is filed under the name uncultured bacterium. Its description in RNAcentral is "partial 16S ribosomal RNA". It matches the Rfam family "Bacterial small subunit ribosomal RNA", at positions 28 to 490 of the family's 1533-position model. The record is from RNAcentral.
GACGAACGCUGGCGGCGUGCUUAACACAUGCAAGUCGAGCGGUAAGGCCCUUUCGGGGGUACACGAGCGGCGAACGGGUGAGUAACACGUGGGUGACCUGCCCUCAGCUCUGGGAUAAGCCUGGGAAACCGGGUCUAAUACUGGAUAUGACUCCAUGACGCAUGUUGUGGGGUGGAAAGCCUUGUGCGGCUGAGGAUGGGCCCGCGGCCUAUCAGCUUGUUGGUGGGGUGANGGCCUACCAAGGCGACGACGGGUAGCCGGCCUGAGAGGGCGACCGGCCACACUGGGACUGAGACACGGCCCAGACUCCUACGGGAGGCAGCAGUGGGGAACAUUGGACAAUGGGCGCAAGCCUGAUCCAGCGAUGCCGCGUGUGUGAAGAAGGCCUGCGGGGUUGUAAAGCACUUUCAGUAGGGAAGAAAAGCCGAGUGCUAAUAUCACUCGGUCUUGACGUUACUUACAGAAGAAG